GGCGCGUUCGUCUAGUGGCCAAGGACAUCGCCCUCUCAAGGCGAAGAUCACGGGUUCAAAUCCCGUACGCGCUACCA
Molecule: transfer RNA, 77 nt
Filed under: Dehalococcoidia bacterium
Lineage: Bacteria; Bacillati; Chloroflexota; Dehalococcoidia
Description: tRNA-Glu
Rfam family: tRNA
About the family: Transfer RNA (tRNA) molecules are approximately 80 nucleotides in length. Their secondary structure includes four short double-helical elements and three loops (D, anti-codon, and T loops).
Source: RNAcentral